UGACGCUGGAACACAGGCCCUUUGUCCCAUGUGAGCAGGGAUGGUUGGUUGCUGGGGGGAUUUGACUUCUCAUCCUCCCAGUCUUCCUGGGAGGUGGGUGGAGGUGCCUAUUUUGCAAAUAAGGAAACUGAGGCCCAGAAGAGGGCCCCUGUCCUGCUGAGGUCUCCUGUCCUGCUGAGGUCUCCUGUCUUGCUGAGGUCUCCUGUCUUGCUGAGGUCUCCUGUCUUGCUGAGGUCUCACUAGCCUAGUGCUCUACCACCUGCGGCCUGGGUGUGGUCUGGAGGCCAGUGCGCUGUAGCUCCGGCCGGGAUGAGGAC
RNAcentral lists this long non-coding RNA (317 nucleotides) under Pan troglodytes (chimpanzee). RNAcentral's name for it is "long non-coding RNA NONPTRT005442". Lineage: Eukaryota; Metazoa; Chordata; Mammalia; Primates; Hominidae. The record is from RNAcentral.